GGAGCAUCAUUGUUUAUUUAAUAAGAUAGAAACAGCACUUACACUAUUCAUUUCUCAAAUAGCACAUAGUGUUAUUGGCAGUAUAUAUUGGCAGCUUAAUUAAGAAGUCUGUUGAUGAUGUCAAAAAAGAAAAGCUGGUUCAUUUUCUAUUCAGAUGGACACUACUCAAGACAAAGACAUGUCUAUUGUUGGCUCAUACAUACUAAUAUGUGUCACAGAUACUACAUAAAAUGUCUAGUGGCUACAGUCAUGUCAAUAUCAUAACACUGGAAAAAUUAUCACUUACACUUAUUUUCAGCUCAGAAAUAAAUCUUUAGAAAAACUGCAAAGUCACCCAAUUUAUGGAACAAAAAGAACAAUGCAAUGAAUACUGAAAAAAUUAUUUAGUCAUAUUUCAUACAGAAUCAUUGCCCAGAUGUGUUUUGCCCCCUCCCUGUGCAAUGCUGAGCCCAUGAGUGUCACCCCCAAGAUGGCACAAGAUCCUCCUCUUCUAGCUAAUCACUCACUCCAAAUGGUGGGGCCCAGGGCUUGGAAAGUAGAUCCCCACAGACAGCAGGUGUGAUUCACCUUCCUACCCCCAAGGAAUAUACAAUCAAUAUAUUUUCCAGCAGACAACCUACACCUAAAGGAAAAAAACUGGAAUUCAAUGCAAACUAACUCAAACUAUAUUAUAUUACUGUCUCGAAAACCUAUUAAAUAUUUAUGGGAUCAAUAAAAGGGAUCCUAUCUCAGCACCACAAAAAUAAUACAAAAUACAAUGGAUCGUAUCUCUCAGAACUUGAAGAACAAGAACAAAAAUAGAAUUUUAAAAAGCCCCAGUUGUUCACAGUACAGGUUUGCUGUUGUUGUUGUUGUUGUUGUGUUUUAUUUUUCAUUAAUGGGGCUUAAAAUACAGAACACUUUUCUGUUCAUUUGUUUUUUGUCUUAGGGACAUACCUAAUUACAAACAAAAGAACACAAUAUGCAUCCUGAAACUAAUAGUAAAUUCAUUAAAAGCAAGCUCCACAUGUUUUUGUCUCACUCAUUUUCUCUCCCUUAUUUUGUGCACUGAUUCACACAUAAUAAGUACUCAAUUAAGUUGAAAGGCAAUGCAUGUUUCAAUUCACAUUAAUUUGGAGGGGUUGCACUGAUUUAAGGAGCAGCGGAGACAAGGAGGGUGGGUUUAAUCUUUGCUGAUUUCAGGCUGUUAAGCACAGCUGUCUCGAAGCCGUGCUCCCUGAAGCUGGUGGAAUGCACCAUCAUGGCAUUCGCCAUGUCUUCAUCUGUUUCCAUUUUUGCAAUAGGUAAUGAGGUGAUCCUCGAACCGGGUAUUUCCAACAAUAAAACAUGAAAGGUGAUUUGAAGCAGGUAAUCAAGGGGUAUCUGCCCCUUCCUAGAGGCAGUACUUCUGUGAACAAAAU
Long non-coding RNA from Heterocephalus glaber (naked mole-rat), 1400 nucleotides. NCBI's taxonomy places the organism in Eukaryota, Metazoa, Chordata, Mammalia, Rodentia, Bathyergidae. The record is from Ensembl.